RNAcentral lists this ribosomal RNA (449 nucleotides) under uncultured bacterium. RNAcentral's name for it is "bacterial SSU rRNA". It matches the Rfam family "Bacterial small subunit ribosomal RNA", at positions 355 to 796 of the family's 1533-position model. The record is from RNAcentral.
UGGGGAAUAUUGGACAAUGGGGGGAACCCUGAUCCAGCAAUGCCGCGUGUGUGAAGAAGGCCUGAGGGUUGUAAAGCACUUUUAGUGGGGAGGAGUUUUGUAUGGUUAAGAGCUGAACAAGAGGACGUUACCCACAGAAACAGCACCGGCUAACUCCGUGCCAGCAGCCGCGGUAAUACGGAGGGUGCAAGCGUUAAUCGGAAUUACUGGGCGUAAAGGGUGCGUAGGUUGUUUUUUAAGUUAUCUGUAAAAUCCCUGGGCUCAACCUGGGCAAGUCAGAUAAGACUGGAAGACUCGAGUAUGGGAGAGGGUAGUGGAAUUUCCGGUGUAGCGGUGAAAUGCGUAGAGAUCGGAAGGAACACCGGUGGCGAAGGCGGCUACCUGGCCUGAUACUGACACUGAGGCACGAAAGCGUGGGGAGCAAACAGGAUUAGAUACCCCUGUAGUCC